GUCCACGCCGUAAACGAUGAUAACUAGCUGUCGGGGGCCAUGGGCUUUCGGUGGCGCAGCUAACGCAUUAAGUUAUCCGCCUGGGGAGUACGGCCGCAAGGUUAAAACUCAAAGAAAUUGACGGGGGCCUGCACAAGCGGUGGAGCAUGUGGUUUAAUUCGAAGCAACGCGCAGAACCUUACCAGCGUUUGACAUCCUCAUCGCGGAUUCCAGAGAUGGUUUCCUUCAGUUCGGCUGGAUGAGUGACAGGUGCUGCAUGGCUGUCGU
This 267-nucleotide ribosomal RNA is filed under the name uncultured bacterium. Its description in RNAcentral is "partial 16S ribosomal RNA". It matches the Rfam family "Bacterial small subunit ribosomal RNA", at positions 793 to 1055 of the family's 1533-position model. The record is from RNAcentral.